This 266-nucleotide small nucleolar RNA is filed under the name Scheffersomyces stipitis CBS 6054. Its description in RNAcentral is "Small nucleolar RNA snR191". It matches the Rfam family "Small nucleolar RNA snR191". Lineage: Eukaryota; Fungi; Ascomycota; Pichiomycetes; Serinales; Debaryomycetaceae. The record is from Rfam by way of RNAcentral.
CACCAAAGCCUUUUGUCAGGGUGAUACUCUAGACUGGUCUUCCAGUCAUACCCACAAUGUUGCCUGUUACGUCUUUGGAAGAAAAAUAGUUUUCGUCCGUGUUCCCAGACUUGUCUGGUUCUUCAGUCGUUUUGAUUGUUGAUUUGUUCACACUUGUCUUCCGUUUUGGUUGACUUCUUAGAAAACUAUCGGGAUCUUUUUGAGUUGAAGCUUUUCGAGGUUCGUCCUCCUUCAUGAUUAGCUUCGUAGUAUAGAAACCGACAUCU